RNAcentral lists this ribosomal RNA (253 nucleotides) under uncultured bacterium. Its description in RNAcentral is "partial 16S ribosomal RNA". It matches the Rfam family "Bacterial small subunit ribosomal RNA", at positions 524 to 776 of the family's 1533-position model. The record is from RNAcentral.
UACGAAGGGGGCUAGCGUUGCUCGGAAUCACUGGGCGUAAAGCGCACGUAGGCGGAUUGCUAAGUCAGGGGUGAAAUCCUGGAGCUCAACUCCAGAACUGCCUUUGAUACUGAAGAUCUUGAGUUCGGGAGAGGUGAGUGGAACUGCGAGUGUAGAGGUGAAAUUCGUAGAUAUUCGCAAGAACACCAGUGGCGAAGGCGGCUCACUGGCCCGAUACUGACGCUGAGGCACGAAAGCGUGGGGAGCAAACAGG